GAUGAACGCUGGCGGCGUGCCUAAUACAUGCAAGUCGAGCGAACAGACGAGGAGCUUGCUCCUCUGACGUUAGCGGCGGACGGGUGAGUAACACGUGGAUAACCUACCUAUAAGACUGGGAUAACUUCGGGAAACCGGAGCUAAUACCGGAUAAUAUAUUGAACCGCAUGGUUCAAUAGUGAAAGACGGUUUUGCUGUCACUUAUAGAUGGAUCCGCGCCGCAUUAGCUAGUUGGUAAGGUAACGGCUUACCAAGGCGACGAUGCGUAGCCGACCUGAGAGGGUGAUCGAGCACACGGGAACUGAGACACGGUCCAGACUCCUACGGGAGGCAGCAGUAGAGAAUCUUCCGCAAUGGGCGAAAGCCUGACGGAGCAACGCCGCGUGAGUGAUGAAGGUCUUCGGAUCGUAAAACUCUGUUAUUAGGGAAGAACAAAUGUGUAAGUAACUAUGCACGUCUUGACGGUACCUAAUCAGAAAGCCACGGCUAACUACGUG
Molecule: ribosomal RNA, 497 nt
Filed under: uncultured bacterium
Lineage: Bacteria
Description: partial 16S ribosomal RNA
Rfam family: Bacterial small subunit ribosomal RNA
Source: RNAcentral